Molecule: ribosomal RNA, 253 nt
Filed under: uncultured bacterium
Lineage: Bacteria
Description: partial 16S ribosomal RNA
Rfam family: Bacterial small subunit ribosomal RNA
Source: RNAcentral
UACGUAGGGUGCGAGCGUUGUCCGGAAUUACUGGGCGUAAAGAGCUCGUAGGUGGUUUGUCGCGUUGUUCGUGAAAACCGGGGGCUUAACUCUCGGCGUGCGGGCGAUACGGGCAGACUGGAGUACUGCAGGGGAGACUGGAAUUCCUGGUGUAGCGGUGGAAUGCGCAGAUAUCAGGAGGAACACCGGUGGCGAAGGCGGGUCUCUGGGCAGUAACUGACGAUGAGGAGCGAAAGCGUGGGGAGCGAACAGG